Molecule: non-coding RNA, 74 nt
Organism: Parelaphostrongylus tenuis
Lineage: Eukaryota; Metazoa; Nematoda; Chromadorea; Rhabditida; Metastrongylidae
Source: the annotation of a GenBank genome assembly
GCUUCAGUAGUGCAGCGGUAAUAGCACGGGCUCUCGGAUAGAGUGAGAUGCUGGUUCAAGUCCUGCCUGACGCA